RNAcentral lists this ribosomal RNA (155 nucleotides) under Pseudidiomarina indica. RNAcentral describes it as "Idiomarina indica 16S rRNA. Bacterial SSU". It matches the Rfam family "Bacterial small subunit ribosomal RNA", at positions 1 to 147 of the family's 1533-position model. Lineage: Bacteria; Pseudomonadati; Pseudomonadota; Gammaproteobacteria; Alteromonadales; Idiomarinaceae. The record is from RNAcentral.
UUAAAUUGAAGAGUUUGAUCAUGGCUCAGAUUGAACGCUGGCGGCAGGCCUAACACAUGCAAGUCGAGCGGUAACAGGGAGUAGCUUGCUACUUUGCUGACGAGCGGCGGACGGGUGAGUAAUGCUUGGGAACUUGCCUUUGGGAGGGGGAUAAC